CCAUCCAGUGUUAAUCACUAAGCUCUUCUUCCUCGUUCAUUUCUCUCUUCUUCUCUCUUUAUUUUUUCUUCUUCCUUUCUCCUUCUCUUUACUGAUUUCUUCUCUUCUCCAUCCGAGUCUCUGAUAAAGAGACGAUCGUAGGGGAGAAGAGGAGAUAAAAGAAAGAGAGAUGAAAGGGAGAGUCAGAGAUGAAAGUGAGAGAUCAGUGAAGAGAGAGAGACCCGGUUCCCCUUUCUUCUCCUUAACUCCUUUCUUCCUUUGUUCUUUCUUUUCUUCUUUUCUGAGACAGAGGAUGAGAGAGAGAGAGAGAAUCAGAGAGACAUAGAGAGAGAGAGAGAGAGAGAAUCAGAGAGACAUAGAGAGAGAGAGAAUCAGAGAGACAUAGAGAGAGAGAGAGAUUUAAACCGGGUGAAGACCCGAUCGGAGGCCGAUCUUCCGGUGGAGCCAGUGAACCCGUCAGACCCAAGAGUAUCCGAAACCUAGGAGACCCGAAAGAAGCCCGAUCCUCCGAUGGAUUUUCAGCAUUUGGAGCGCGACUUCCGAUGGAUCAUUGGCUGGUUGAGCUAGGGGUGAUUUUCGACGAUUCUAGCCGGAAAUUCGGUGAUUUUCAGGGGCGAUUUUUCGGUGAAGCUUAGAGAUAUUUUCCGGGUUUUAUAGAUGAAGAUUAGAGCUCGAGAGGUUUUAAAGCUAAGGACACAUUGAUUAUAUUUUGUUUGUAGUCUUCUGUAUAUAUAAGCUUCUAUGUUGAUAAGAUUUCUAAAAUUUCCAUGUAUCCUUUUGUGUCACUAUUGACACCUGUUUACAUGUAUUUGUUCUAAGUAUUUUUAAUGGAUGUCUAGAAGUAUUUCAGUUAGAAGUUCUGAUGUGUUAUUUAAAUCCAAAUUUGUGGGAUAAUUAUAUAUUUCGCUGCUAUAUUGUAACUCUGUUGUAGUAAUGUCACAUGAAAAUCGAAAAAUUUUCACUUAUGUCAUUUUGUAAAAGGCGGGGCGUUACAGAGUGGUAUCAGAGCGGGUUGCUCUGAGGACCCUAAGACUUGACCCUAAAAGUUUAGAAAUAACACAAGAGCUAUAUGUAUAAACCAUUUUUCUGAAAAAUGCUUUGUGUGAAUUAUGUGAUGUCUGCUUAUUUAUGCUUCCAUCUUUGGAUGAGCUAUGAAUGUGUGCAUCUCAAUGUUUUGCUAUAUAUUGGAAAACCUAUUGAUCUAAUUUGCAUGCUAAAUGAAAAUUGUACUAAAUAUGAAACUGCUUUUAUUAAGAAAUGAUUUUGAAAUGAGGAAAAUAUUUUAAGAAUAAACUUUCAACAUUUGUGUUAGUUUGUAGUUGGCUAUAUUCUAUUAGACAAAAUCACUUCUAUGUAAUGAUACAUUUAAAUAGGGAUUCAGCUAUUCAGAGGUCUUCUAGAAGAUUUUGCACAGUCUAUAAGUCAGAGAAAUCGGAUUUGUAACGCCCUGCUUUUACAAAAAGCGUAUUACAAGAUUCCUUGCAGUCGUCCGAACGACGUGAUAUACCGUCCGGACGCCCAACUGUCCAAAGCAUCAUCCGUCCGGACGACGAUAACUUUCCGUCCGAACAUUCCUUUAUGUCGAGAAGCUUUGAACUGCUCCAGCUUGCAUCCAUUCGGAUGUUUUAGCAGCACUUCUGGAAGCCACUCAGUGUUCGACCAGCUAUGAAAUUUCUUUCCAAAACACAGAUAUGGGAAGACAGUUGCAACCGUCCAGACGAUGUGGAUUCCCGUCCGGACGCGCUCAUCCAUAAGGCAAGUCGCGCAUUCAAAAUUCAGAUGUCCGGACGCGUGAGCUACACAUUUGGAAAUUGGCUGCAUCAGAUCAACCGUCCGGACGAUCAUUCCUAUGGUCUGGACGUGCGAAGCCUUAAUAUGAAAAUUGUGUGCAGCGAAGGUGCGACCGUUCGAACGACAGGGUAACACCGUCCGAACGCGACUCAAAUCAGGAAAGAAUUUCAGCAAAAUUUUGGAAAGCCAAUCGCACAGUUGUCCGUUCGGACGUCUUAUGUCUACCGUCAGGACGGCUCCUAGGUUUUUCAAGCUAGCUGCUCAUUUAAACCUGCAGCCUAUAAAUAGAGGUUCCUAGGCUUGAGAACUACAAGAAUUUAGUAUUGAAUUCCUUAGUGUUUAGAGAGUUAUACUUUAGAAUUGUUGUGCUGAGUUAGUCUCUCCUAAGCCAUUGUUGUGUGUGCUGUUGCUGCGCUGAUUUGAAGUCUAUCUUAGGGGUUGGCCUUAGGGUAAAAGAUUCCUUUGAAGACCCCUUCAGGUAGGAGACCUGGUUGGGUGGCCUUCGUAUUGGGUUACAUGUCAAAGUUCAAGGAUGGUCGGUUUUCAAUUCAGAAUCUUCAUGUAUUCAGACAAUGAUCAAAUCAAAGACAAUAACUGAUCACAAGCUUUUUAAAGAUGUCCAUGAAGAGUCCUUGCAAAAUCCAAGACAAAAACAACCGGUUCCUGUGCAACUAUCCGGACAAGCCUUUGAAGGCGUCCAGACGCCCCUCAGUGUCCAGCAGAUAACGAUGAAGACGUCCAGACGUUAGAGCAACACCGUCCGGAUGCUAGGUCAAUCAGUAUUCAACAAGUAGUUGGAUUUUAGAAGCCGACACUAUUGGGAAGUCUCUGCAAGCCGUCAGGACGACGUGACAACACGUCUAGAUGAUGUCCAGUAUUUCAGAAUAUUCCAAAGUUUCGUUCGAACGUGGAAAGGAUUUUAGUGAAGACCGUCCGAACGCUCGAUCAAGCCGUUCGGACAUAAACCUAAUAAAGAUAGAAUUGCGCUGUUUCUGAAUGGAUAUCGCAUAAAACCAUCUGGACGAGGCUAACUUCCGUCCGGACGCUCGCCAGCCAGAGUCUGAAUCUCAGCAGUUUUUGAGGUCUAUUUAAGCCUAUAAAUAGGGGGCUUUAGGCUAGUGUUUUGUACAGAAUUCGACAGUGAAUUCCAUAGUGCUUUGAGAGGGUGUUUAGGGAGAAUCGAAGAUCCGCUAGCUUUGAAGCCGUUACCGGUGUGUGCUCAGUUGUUCGUGUGAAGUCUAUCUUAGGGGUCGGCCCUAAGGUAAAGGAAUCCAUCAAAAACCCCUUCAGGUGGAAGAUCUGGUUGGGAAGCAUUCGUGUUGGGUUACACGUUAGAGUUAGAGGUAUGACUACUGCAUAAGGGGAAGUGAGUACAAGUGUCUUGUAACUAGCUUUGUUUUUGGAAAGUGGAUUUCUUGGGUUUGGCUGCCCUAGAGUGGUUUUUCUCUUCACAGAGUUUCCACUUCGUAACAAAUAUCUUGUCUUAUUUAAAUU
Molecule: long non-coding RNA, 3285 nt
Organism: Alnus glutinosa
Lineage: Eukaryota; Viridiplantae; Streptophyta; Magnoliopsida; Fagales; Betulaceae
Exons: 4
Source: RefSeq, a predicted model, not a curated record